UACGUAGGGACCAAGCGUUGUUCGGAUUUACUGGGCGUAAAGGGCGCGUAGGCGGCUUAACAAGUCACUUGUGAAAUCUCCGGGCUUAACUCGGAACGGCCAAGUGAAACUGUCAAGCUAGAGUGCAGAAGGGGCAAUCGGAAUUCUUGGUGUAGCGGUGAAAUGCGUAGAUAUCAGGAGGAACACCGGUGGCGAAGGCGGUGGUCUGGGCCGGCACUGACGCUGAGGAGCGAAAGCGUGGGGAGCGAACAGG
This 253-nucleotide ribosomal RNA is filed under the name uncultured bacterium. Its description in RNAcentral is "partial 16S ribosomal RNA". It matches the Rfam family "Bacterial small subunit ribosomal RNA", at positions 524 to 776 of the family's 1533-position model. The record is from RNAcentral.